Molecule: RNase P RNA, 335 nt
Filed under: Pseudomonadota bacterium
Lineage: Bacteria; Pseudomonadati; Pseudomonadota
Description: Proteobacteria bacterium (hot springs metagenome) RNase P RNA component class A
Rfam family: Bacterial RNase P class A
About the family: Ribonuclease P (RNase P) is a ubiquitous endoribonuclease, found in archaea, bacteria and eukarya as well as chloroplasts and mitochondria. Its best characterised activity is the generation of mature 5'-ends of tRNAs by cleaving the 5'-leader elements of precursor-tRNAs.
Source: RNAcentral
GCAGUCCGCCGGACCGUCGCCCGCAAGGGAGGAAAGUCCGGGCACCGCAGGGAAGGAUGCCGGGUAACGCCCGGCGGGGGCAACCCUAGGGAAAGUGGCACAGAAAAGAUACCGCCCCGCAAGGGGUAAGGGUGAAAUGGUGGGGUAAGAGCCCACCGCUUGGCUGGUAACAGGCAAGGCAGGCUAAACCCCAUCCGGUGCAAGACCAAAUAGGCCAACCGUUUAACUGUGGCCCGCAGGUGGUUGGCGGGUAGGUUGCUAGAGACGGCCGGUAACGGCCGCCGUAGAUGAAUGACGGCCCUCGACAGAACCCGGCUUACAGGCGGACUGCCUUU